Long non-coding RNA from Ailuropoda melanoleuca (giant panda), 6330 nucleotides. RefSeq lists it as uncharacterized. Lineage: Eukaryota; Metazoa; Chordata; Mammalia; Carnivora; Ursidae. The transcript is spliced from 2 exons. The record is from RefSeq and is a predicted model, not a curated record.
UGCGCCCUCCUGGACGGCCUGCAGCGCGGCCGGCCCCGCCUGGCCAUCGGCAAGGGCCGCAGGGGGCGCGACGAGGAGGGGUCACCCCCGCCGGCCAGCGACCCCGGGUCUGCCCCGGACCCCGCCGCCGGGCAGUGCGGGGCGGCCUGUAAGGAGCGCUGUGGAUAAACCCCCUCCGCCCGGGCUUCGGUGUGCGGUUGGGAGGGGGACGGACAGGACGGGUUACCCGUGACCCCAUAGAAGAUGAGGCCGGGAUCCCUGGGUCUGAGGGAGGAGGGGCUGGGGGCUGGAACCCUUGGGUCUGAGGGAGGAGGGUUGGGGGGUUGGAGAAGGAGGAACUGGGGCCAGGACUCCAGGAUCUGAGGAAAGAGGGGCUGGAGACCAAAACUCUUGUUCUGGAAGAAAGAGAACUGAGCAACUUUCCAAGCCAGAGCCGGUAGUAUUGGGCUGCUUGCCUAGUACGCUGCCAGGUUCUGGGCAUGCGCAGGAGAGCCCUAACCCUUCUUUAGGACCUACUAUGUGUCAUGUUUGCCGGUAGUGGGAUAAGCAAAACAGCUUCACUCGAUGGGCUCUCUCAUUUACGGUAAUCGGGAUGCUUCUCUUUGAGUGCUGUAUUUGCCGCGGAUGCUGCUCCGUCUGAUUGCACCCACACCGCAGUCUCCCUGGUCGUAGCCUGAGACUCGGUCACUGGACUGAGGUUGCCUAGCUGGAGUUUGUCCCUCCACACCAGGCGAUGGGUGGGUGGUUAGAUUCCGCCUGGGGUUCAGCACUACCCUAUUGAAAUAUAAUUUGAGUCAUAUGUGUAAUUUUAAGUUUUCUAAGAGCCAUAUUUUUUAAAGGAGGGGGAACAAGUGAACUUUUAAUAAUGUAUUUUAUUUGACCCAAAUAAAUAUAUUUGACCUAAAUAUCCCAGAUAUUACAAUUUUAACAUGUUUUUGAAAACUAUGUGAUAUUUUACGGUCUUUUUUUUUUUUUUUUGUAUUAAGCCUUUGAAAUACAGUAUGUAUGUUAUACUUAACAGCCCAUCUCCUUUCCGAUGCAACCGCUGUUCAGACCUCACAGGGGACCUGAGGGCCCCACGGGGGAACUGGGAAGAUGCUGUCCUAGGCUUUGGCCACAAGAGGUCACUGUACCCACACCUGUGCCUCGGGUGACCACGGUUGACCAAGGUCUCUCUGCUGCCUGGGUGGGAGCUCGGCUCCCUGCUGUCACCUCCUCCCUGGUCUUCCUGGUCUGAGCCAGGCGCCAAGGGCGAGCGGCACAGUCUGGCAGAAAGAUGAAGGCCCCGUUGGAAACCUUCCUUGACCUCAAGACCUGUGUGUUCAAGCAUUCAUUCAUUCCGCAAAUAUUUACUGAGCACUUCAUCUGUGACAGCAGUGAACACACGCCCGCCCGAAUGGGAGAGGCCAAAAAGGAAAGGAGAAAAAUAAGUUGAAUAUACAGUAUGUCAGGUGGUAAUAAAUCAGGGGAUGGAAACAGGCCAACAUGCAAGGAGGUGUCGUGUAAGCCCUGACGGUCGGGUUUUCUCUUUUUUGUGAUGCAAGCGCCUGACUUGAGCUUUGCUUGCCAAGGCACCCACUUCAAAGAGGCUAUCGCAGUAACCAGAUGGCCAGCCACACGACUACAUAAAAGCCAGGCCGCCUUCCCCUCCCCCAGGCUCCUUUGUUUCAGAGAUCUUAAUGGAUUUCCAUAAAUCAAAAUCACCCUGCAGCUUUUUUUUCCUCUUCCCACACUUUCAAUUCCCCACUCUUGUUUUAAAUUCACAAAGAGUGAGCCCGUGGAACCCUAGGUACCCCCCCGGACCCCCAUAAAAGCAGAAGCCCAGAGACCCGUGCACCCACCCUCCACUGUGACCUCUCUGUAUGGCCCCCAAUUCAAAAAAAAAAAAAAACUUUAUAUUUUUUUAAAGUUUCCUGAUGGUUACUUUUGAGGGCAUCUUGCAAUCAUGAGAACCACAAGGGCCGGUCCAGACACAACGAUCAUCUGGGACACACACAAAACAGUGGGGUAGAUAGAAUUGAGCAAAGACCUGUCCAAGGUGAGGCAGCGAGCUCUGCAGAUUGGUGGGAAGAGCGUUGCCGGCAGAGGAACAGAGAGUGCAAACUGAGGCAGGACAGUGGUGGAGGGGGGAGUGGAGGAGAGAGCUAAGAGGGACCAGAUGGUGUAGGCUCAGUUUCAGUUUUGAGACGGAAGUCAUAGAGAGUUCUGAGCAGAGGAGUGAUAAGGAUCAUCCCUUUAUUCACGCAGCAAACAUUUACUGGUGCCUCCCAGGAGCCAGGCCCUGUGCGGAGCCGUGGGGAAACAGCUGAGUCAGCCCCAGUCCCUGCCCUCAGCGGGCUCCCCUUCUGGUGGGGAAGGCAGGCAUGGACACGGAUACGUGCCACAGUGGGAAGUUAGCAAGGACACGGAGCCCAGGGGUGGGGUGCCCAGCUCACACGGGGCGUCAUAGAAUGCCUUAAGAAGGAGGUAGUGUUUCAACCAGGCUCCAAAGGUGAGUAAGAAUGAGCACGAGAUGGGGCGCCUGGGUGGCUCAGUCGGUUAAGUGUCUGCCUUUGGCUCAGGUCAUGAUCCCAGGGUCCUGGGACUGAGUCCCACAUUGGGCUCCCUGCUCAGCGGGGAGUCUGCUUCCCCCUCCGUCCCUCCCCCUGCUCCUUCUUGCUCUCUCUCAAAUAAAUAAAAUCUUAAAAAAAAAAAAAAAAGAAAGAAAGAAAGAUUGAGCACAAGAAAGCGGUGGGAGGGAGACGAGGCUGACAGAACAGCAGGUGCAGAGGUCUGCAGGUCAGGAAGCACCCGGAACCUGGGUGGAAUGGCAGCUCCCAGGGCAGGAUGGCUGGGGAGAAGUUAGUCCAGGUGGCUGGGCCCCUGAGAAGACUGAAAAGCCGCCGCAUCCUGAGGGCUGUCUGCUGGGGGUAAUGGAGGCGCUAGGAAGGGUUCAGAGCAAACAGGACUAGCUCUGGGUAUCAGAAAGCUCCUUCUGGGGCCAUGUACAAAAAGACUGCAGGGAGAAGCCAAAACAGAGCAGCAGCAAGGGAAUGGGAUGGUGGGACCGGAUAUGAGGGCUAUUUAAGAAGUACUCACCAAGGGCUAGAAGUCCUACUAAACUCUAGGGUGCAUUUUGUAAGCAUAGGAGCUCCCACAUGAACCCUAUUACAAGAGAAGUCCUUCCUAAACAGACCAAACAGAAAUAAAGAUGUUUGCCACUUAGGCAGAUGGCCAUAGUAAACACAGGACAGUCCUUUGCUGAGGGAGAAAGACACAGUAAGUGUGGAGGGCAGAGCAGGGGUGUUGCUGAGACAGGAGCCCUAGUCAUCAUGGAGGAAGACUCUUGCUGUGGUCUUUGGCCUUGGUAAACUGCAGCCCCUACAUAAACACAAGGGAUCCUUAAUUCUUGUUGAGUAUGGCAGUGGAUCUGUGAAAGGAUCAAGGCUGAUGAUGCAGAAACCUCAUCCCCCAGAGUCGGAAGCUUUCUUCCCCUUAGGGAUUUGAAGCCCAGUCUCAGAAAGAUAGGCUUUCCCAUCUUCCCCCUGUGCGUGCUCUCCCAAGGCUGGGUAAUUGGAGAUUAGUGUCUGGUCUGAAGGGGUAGAAGCAUUGGGUACAGAGAUUCUGGAGGGAAACAGAUUUCUGGAAAGAAGCAGAGACUCUGGAGAGAAGAAGGCUUUGAGAUAAUCUCACUCCUUCAGCCUGUUUAUACAGAGCCUCACCACAUGGCGGGUAGUAGACUAGUCACAGGGGAUUCUGCAGUGACCCUGCAAGACAAGGUCCCGGCCCUCAUGAAGCCUCAGUCCAAGUGAGAGAGAUGUUACUUCAUUCUACAGAUAUUUACUGUGUACCUACUAUGUGCCAGGGCACAGAUCAGAUAAGGAAGGCAAAACCCCCUGCCCUGUCAGAGAUGACACUCAAGUUAUGGGACACAGAAUCCACAAUAAAGCAAGUAAAUAAAACAUGAGGACAUCUGAUGGUAAUAAAUGCCAUAGAGGGGGAAAAAAAGACAAUAAACAAGGCCGCAAACACAUAAAGCAAUUAUAGUUUGGAAUAAGGCAUAAAAAGGAAAACCAACGAGGGGCUGAGAUAGAAACUAGAGGGGAAUGUCUGCUCCAGACAAGGUGAUCAUAGGCAUAAUGGCAGGAAGGGUGUCCCAGGCAAAGGGAACAGCAAAGACAAAGACCCUAAAUUGGGAAGGCAGCUACCAUGCUGAGAAAAAUCAAAGAAGUCCCAAGGAGCUGAGGCACAGUGCAUGAUGGAGUGAUGAGGUUGGAGGGAUGGACAUAAGCUGGACAGAAUGCCUCGGAGGCAUUUGGGUUUUAUUCUAUUUGCAGCGGGGAAUCAUGAUACUGUUUUACAUUUUAGGAACACGUUGGCUGCUGGACUUGGACUUGGCAUGGGGUGCGGAAGGUGGGAACAGGGGUCAAAUGUGGAAGCAGUGAGACUAGUUCGGAUGCUACUGCACCUGUCCAGGGGAGAGAGAAAUGUGGCUUGAAUGGGAGCGAUUACAUGUGCACCAUGCAAGGCCAAUGGGGGGAUUAAGAGCGAUGUGGCACAUGGAAGUACUAGAAAAAUUGCCAACCAAGAGCUGGUCAGGGGCCCAACAAGGCAGACGGGAGGGUCCAUGUGCUCGUCCCGCAAGCAUUCAUCGCUUGCUGGGCUGUCCCAGGGGCUGGGGACCCAGCACAGGACUCCCUGCCCGCAAUGGCUUACGAACAGAUUUGAAGGCAAAGUGGCAUGGCGUCUAACAGCUGGAUGACCCAGGUUCCAAUCCUGGCUAUGCCACUUGCACGAGUGCUUUUUAUCUGAGACCCCAUUCCCUCCCUGUGACAUGGUGCCAGUAAGAGUCUCUAAGCCUCCUAAAGCUGCUGUGGGGAUUCAACGUGAUGAUGUGUGCGAGGUCUUUGGCAACCCGCCUGAUAUUUAUUGUAAGUGAAGACAGAGACAGGCUUUCCCUGGCAACAAGGACUCAGGGGCGUUGAAGAAAGAGGACCCCCUGGUUUUUCAGUCCCCCAACCUCCGUGUGGUCUGAGACUGCCUCCCCCAUUCCCACGGUAGCACCCUGGCCCCUAUCUCCAUCCAGAAAUGCUCCACCUCUGAAGCCACAAACCCCACAUCCCACUCCCUGACCACAGCCUCCCAUGCUUCUAGAGCUGCGGGUGGCCCUGCCACACCUGUUCUUCCACUCAAAGGCACCCUGACCCCCUCAUGCAGCCUCCAACCAAGCCCCUUCUGUCUGCACUUCCUACACCCCACAGUCCACCCCUUUCCCCGCCCCCAGAGUCCUUAACUCCCUUGUUUUAGCAUCCCUCCCACCAUCGCCCAGCCCUACAUGUGCCUGCUCUUUGCUGGAGAAAAACAAAACAAAAUCGUCAGACUGCUCCAAUGAUGCCCCUUUAAAUUGCUGAUCGACAGCUUCACCUGGGCACCUUGUCCGCCACCCUCACCUCCCCCACCCCAUCCGCCCAGGUGCCCCUUGAGGUGAGCUGGCAUCGAUCUCCCCAGAGGAAACAGAAGCCAACCCAAGGGCCCUCCCUCCUCUUCCUGCCACAGGACCCACACCCCACCUGAAACCUCACCCGCCCUUUCCUUCUUCCUUCCUGGAACAAUGGAAGAGGCGUCCUUCCUCCUGUCGGGAGCUAAUCCCACCACUCUGGCGGUUGCACCAUCCGCCCCUUUGUUCUUGGGCAUCUUGUUCCCUGCGGUUGUUAAGAGCUCUCCGCUUGGGUUAAAAUCAUGGAACCAUGGUGCCACCACUCCGCGUUGUGUAAACUUGGGCGGGCGACUUCUCUUCCUCGUCUGUACAUCGAAGAUAAUAAGAGCAUCUUUCUCACGAAACCAUGGGAAGGGUUCGGUGAGUCAGUUGAUGAAAAAUGCACUAAACCGGGGUUGGACACCUAAAUCAGUGUAUAAAUGGAAUUGACCCUCAAAUCGCCUUGGAGGACAACAGAAGAUUCCGGCAGUGGAGCAGAGAUUCCUAUAGUCCUGGAGUUUGUGCACUUCCUCUUGUGCUGACCAGCUCAGUGACCUUGGACCAGCCAGUUCCCCUCCAACUCAGUUUCUCAGUCUGUACAUUGGGGACAAGAUAGUACCUAUCCCAUAGGGUCCACACUCUCCAUGACUCAUUCUGCUCCAGGCAGGCUGGCCUCCUCAUUGGUCCCCAGACACACCUCAGGGCCUUUGCACUGUUGCUCCUUGUGUCUGGGAUAGUAUUCCCCCAGAGGUCCCCGACUACCUUUAGGUCUUUGCCCCAAGGUCACCUCAGUCGGGCCUUCCCUGACCCUACUCCACUCCCUACUUUCUUAUUAUUUUUCAAAGCACCAAUAAAUUGUUAUAUUAUGUGUUGUA